This 462-nucleotide ribosomal RNA is filed under the name uncultured bacterium. RNAcentral's name for it is "partial 16S ribosomal RNA". It matches the Rfam family "Bacterial small subunit ribosomal RNA", at positions 31 to 507 of the family's 1533-position model. The record is from RNAcentral.
GAACGCUGGCGGCGUGCUUAACGCAUGCAAGUCGAACGGAAAGGCCCUGCUUGCAGGGUACUCGAGUGGCGAACGGGUGAGUAACACGUGGGUGAUCUGCCCUGCACUUCGGGAUAAGCCUGGGAAACUGGGUCUAAUACCGGAUAGGAGCCAUUUUUAGUGUGAUGGUUGGAAAGUUUUUUCGGUGUAGGAUGAGCUCGCGGCCUAUCAGCUUGUUGGUGGGGUAAUGGCCUACCAAGGCGGCGACGGGUAGCCGGCCUGAGAGGGUGGACGGCCACAUUGGGACUGAGAUACGGCCCAGACUCCUACGGGAGGCAGCAGUGGGGAAUAUUGCACAAUGGGCGCAAGCCUGAUGCAGCGACGCCGCGUGGGGGAUGACGGCCUUCGGGUUGUAAACUCCUUUCGCUAGGGACGAAGCUUUUUGUGACGGUACCUAGAUAAGAAGCACCGGCUAACUACGUG